UGCAUUAGAGGCUGCCAGUUGCAGGGUU
RNAcentral lists this non-coding RNA (28 nucleotides) under Mus musculus (house mouse). Lineage: Eukaryota; Metazoa; Chordata; Mammalia; Rodentia; Muridae. The record is from RNAcentral.